CACAGUUCAACCCUGCUAUGAAGAAGUAGGCCUAAAUAAUAAACGCAUCAGUUCAUCACUUCAGCUGCCAUGUCGUCAUCAUCCCAUACCACCUGAUUACCUGAUUACGUGGAUCCAGUACCAGCUUGAACAAAAGCAUACUGAGUUCACCUGCCCAAGAUGUGGUGCUGGCAUAUCAUAUCAAAGACUGUGUGAGCUGGUCCAUCUCAAGCCAGAGAAGCAACAGUAUUUUGAAGAAACUAUUGCAACUCUCACUGCCUCGAAACUAUGUGAUUACAAAAAUUGCCCAGGUUGCCAGUCCAAUGUGGAGAGAGCAGACCUGGAACAACUUGUGUGUGCUAUGCUCCAUUUGCUCCUCCAAGAUGGGCCACACAUAUCAGUUCUGCUGGCAGUGCCAAAGGGAAUGGAAAGGGCCGUACAUCAAUGGCAAACAUUGUGCAAAUUUGGGCUGUGGACAG
This is a long non-coding RNA of Engraulis encrasicolus (European anchovy), 458 nucleotides long. RefSeq lists it as uncharacterized. Lineage: Eukaryota; Metazoa; Chordata; Actinopteri; Clupeiformes; Engraulidae. The record is from RefSeq and is a predicted model, not a curated record. The transcript is spliced from 4 exons.